Molecule: ribosomal RNA, 253 nt
Filed under: uncultured Comamonadaceae bacterium
Lineage: Bacteria; Pseudomonadati; Pseudomonadota; Betaproteobacteria; Burkholderiales; Comamonadaceae
Description: partial 16S ribosomal RNA
Rfam family: Bacterial small subunit ribosomal RNA
Source: RNAcentral
UACGUAGGGUGCAAGCGUUAAUCGGAAUUACUGGGCGUAAAGCGUGCGCAGGCGGUUUUGUAAGACAGAGGUGAAAUCCCCGGGCUCAACCUGGGAACUGCCUUUGUGACUGCAAGGCUAGAGUACGGCAGAGGGGGGUGGAAUUCCGCGUGUAGCAGUGAAAUGCGUAGAUAUGCGGAGGAACACCGAUGGCGAAGGCAACCCCCUGGGCUUGUACUGACGCUCAUGCACGAAAGCGUGGGGAGCAAACAGG